Molecule: small nuclear RNA, 104 nt
Organism: Alexandromys fortis (reed vole)
Lineage: Eukaryota; Metazoa; Chordata; Mammalia; Rodentia; Cricetidae
Source: RefSeq, a predicted model, not a curated record
GUGCUCACUUCGACAGCACAUACGCUAGAACUGGAACCAUACAGAGAUUAGCGUGAGCCCUGUGCAAGGACUACAGGGGAAUUCCUGAAGCGUUACAUAUUUUU